UACGAAGGGGGCUAGCGUUGCUCGGAAUCACUGGGCGUAAAGGGUGCGUAGGCGGGUUUUUAAGUCAGAGGUGAAAUCCUGGAGCUCAACUCCAGAACUGCCUUGGAUACUGAGAAUCUUGAGUUCGGGAGAGGUGAGUGGAACUGCGAGUGUAGAGGUGAAAUUCGUAGAUAUUCGCAAGAACACCAGUGGCGAAGGCGGCUCACUGGCCCGAUACUGACGCUGAGGCACGAAAGCGUGGGGAGCAAACAGG
Molecule: ribosomal RNA, 253 nt
Filed under: uncultured bacterium
Lineage: Bacteria
Description: partial 16S ribosomal RNA
Rfam family: Bacterial small subunit ribosomal RNA
Source: RNAcentral